This 253-nucleotide ribosomal RNA is filed under the name uncultured bacterium. Its description in RNAcentral is "partial 16S ribosomal RNA". It matches the Rfam family "Bacterial small subunit ribosomal RNA", at positions 524 to 776 of the family's 1533-position model. The record is from RNAcentral.
UACGAAGGGGGCUAGCGUUGCUCGGAAUCACUGGGCGUAAAGGGUGCGUAGGCGGGUCUUUAAGUCAGGGGUGAAAUCCUGGAGCUCAACUCCAGAACUGCCUUUGAUACUGGGGAUCUCGAGUCCGGGAGAGGUGAGUGGAACUCCGAGUGUAGAGGUGAAAUUCGUAGAUAUUCGGAAGAACACCAGUGGCGAAGGCGGCUCACUGGCCCGGUACUGACGCUGAGGUGCGAAAGCGUAGGGAGCAAACAGG